AGUGGCGGACGGGUGAGUAACGCGUAAGAAUCUAACUUCAGGACGGGGACAACAGUGGGAAACGACUGCUAAUACCCGAUGUGCCGCGAGGUGAAACCUAAUUGGCCUGAAGAAGAGCUUGCGUCUGAUUAGCUAGUUGGUGGGGUAAGAGCCUACCAAGGCGACGAUCAGUAGCUGGUCUGAGAGGAUGAGCAGCCACACUGGGACUGAGACACGGCCCAGACUCCUACGGGAGGCAGCAGUGGGGAAUUUUCCGCAAUGAGCGAAAGCCUGACGGAGCAACGCCGCGUGAGGGAGGAAGGUCUUUGGAUUGUAAACCUCUUUUCUCAAGGAAGAAGUUCUGACGGUACUUGAGGAAUCAGCCUCGGCUAACUCCGUGCCAGCAGCCGCGGUAAUACGGGGGAGGCAAGCGUUAUCCGGAAUUAUUGGGCGUAAAGCGUCCGCAGGUGGUCAGCCAAGUCUGCUGUCAAAUCAGGUUGCUUAACGACCUAAAGGCGGUGGAAACUGGCAGACUAGAGAGCAGUAGGGGUAGCAGGAAUUCCCAGUGUAGCGGUGAAAUGCGUAGAGAUUGGGAAGAACAUCGGUGGCGAAAGCGUGCUACUGGGCUGUAUCUGACACUCAGGGACGAAAGCUAGGGGAGCGAAAGGGAUUAGAUACCCCUGUAGUCCUAGCCGUAAACGAUGGAUACUAGGCGUGGCUU
RNAcentral lists this ribosomal RNA (700 nucleotides) under uncultured bacterium. RNAcentral describes it as "bacterial SSU rRNA". It matches the Rfam family "Bacterial small subunit ribosomal RNA", at positions 94 to 828 of the family's 1533-position model. The record is from RNAcentral.